ACGAUAUAGUUUUACUUAGUUUUACUUAGUUGUACUGAGUUGUACUAAGUUAUACUGAGUUUUACUUAUACUGAGUUGUACUACUGUACUAAUUAUACUGAGUAUUACUAGUUAUACUGGUUAUACUAUGUAAUACUAAGUACCAUUGAGUUAGUUAUACCGAGUUCAACUGAGUUAUACUGGUUACAUUGGAGUACUUCUGUGUUAGUUAUACAUAGUUCUACUGAAUUAUACUCGUUAUAUUGUGUAAUACUAAGUACAACUGAGUUAGUUAUACUAAGUCGACUGAGUUAGUAAUACAUAGUUAUACAUAAUCCAGAUCUGAAGAUGAAAUAAAUAAAUAAAACACGAAAAAUUCCUGGAAAGGGAAAACAAGAAGAACCCUAAAUCAUAAAAAUCCCAGAAUCUUCUUUAUGAACCCUAAAUCAUGAACUAUCUAGAACAAAAAAAAUCCUAAAUUGGAGAAAAACCCAGAUAUGGAACGCGAGAAGAAGAAGAAAUCGUCAUUGAACCCAUUUCCACCAUCUUCAACGGUUGAUGGUUCUGUCUCCAUCACUGGCGGAAUCAUUGAGGACGUUUUACAUCACGAACAGAGUUUUCAUCACUUGCAACAUAUCUCAAAGAACAAAAAGAAUAAGAGAGAGGAGAAGAGAUACAAGAUUGAAUCGCCAUGGUUGAUAUGCUCUGAUUAUAUGCUCUGAUCUUAUCAUAAAACAUUGAAGAGUGAAAGGUAGAAGAAGGAGAGAAGAAGCGGCGCAGAGAAAAGAAGAAAAAAAUAAGAAAUAAAAACUGAACUUUC
This 799-nucleotide long non-coding RNA is filed under the name Brassica napus (rape). Its description in RNAcentral is "long non-coding RNA (BNAP_LNC019775)". Lineage: Eukaryota; Viridiplantae; Streptophyta; Magnoliopsida; Brassicales; Brassicaceae. The record is from RNAcentral.